This 305-nucleotide ribosomal RNA is filed under the name uncultured bacterium. RNAcentral describes it as "bacterial SSU rRNA". It matches the Rfam family "Bacterial small subunit ribosomal RNA", at positions 338 to 640 of the family's 1533-position model. The record is from RNAcentral.
CCUACGGGGGGCAGCAGUGAGGAAUAUUGGUCAAUGGGCGCUAGCCUGAACCAGCCAAGUAGCGUGAAGGAUGACUGCCCUAUGGGUUGUAAACUUCUUUUAUAUGGGAAUAAAGUGCAGUAUGUAUACUGCUUUGCAUGUACCUUAUGAAUAAGGAUCGGCUAACUCCGUGCCAGCAGCCGCGGUAAUACGGAGGAUCCGAGCGUUAUCCGGAUUUAUUGGGUUUAAAGGGAGCGUAGGCGGGUUGUUAAGUCAGUUGUGAAAGUUUGCGGCUCAACCGUAAAAUUGCAGUUGAUACUGGCAUC